AUUGAACGCUGGCGGCAGGCCUAACACAUGCAAGUCGAGCGGAUGAAGGGAGCUUGCUCCUGGAUUCAGCGGCGGACGGGUGAGUAAUGCCUAGGAAUCUGCCUGGUAGUGGGGGAUAACGUCCGGAAACGGGCGCUAAUACCGCAUACGUCCUGAGGGAGAAAGUGGGGGAUCUUCGGACCUCACGCUAUCAGAUGAGCCUAGGUCGGAUUAGCUAGUUGGUGGGGUAAAGGCCUACCAAGGCGACGAUCCGUAACUGGUCUGAGAGGAUGAUCAGUCACACUGGAACUGAGACACGGUCCAGACUCCUACGAGAGGCAGCAGUGGGGAAUAUUGGACAAUGGGCGGAAGCCUGAUCCAGCCAUGCCGCGUGUGUGAAGAAGGUCUUCGGAUUGUAAAGCACUUUAAGUUGGGAGGAAGGGCAGUAAGUUAAUACCUUGCUGUUUUGACGUUACCAACAGAAUAAGCACCGGCUAACUUCGUG
RNAcentral lists this ribosomal RNA (484 nucleotides) under uncultured bacterium. Its description in RNAcentral is "partial 16S ribosomal RNA". It matches the Rfam family "Bacterial small subunit ribosomal RNA", at positions 30 to 507 of the family's 1533-position model. The record is from RNAcentral.